Molecule: long non-coding RNA, 915 nt
Filed under: Rattus norvegicus (Norway rat)
Lineage: Eukaryota; Metazoa; Chordata; Mammalia; Rodentia; Muridae
Description: long non-coding RNA NONRATT019177
Source: RNAcentral
GAGACCUGCAGCCCCCCGACCAUCGGAGGCUCCCCUCUUAGACUUAUAAGUCUGUGGCUACAGGCAUCGGCUGCCUGCCUCCUAGCCUCCCCAGGGUCCCCUCAGAGGACUCCUGGGCUUUCUGACCACCUGAGGGGCCUCCAGCGCUCCCUCCAGCCAUCCCCUUUAGCUUCGAUCUCCUGGUUCAAACACUACUGGCCUCAUGGCUGUUACAUGGGACUCCCUGAGGCUUGGGGUGGCCCUGAGCCAGUGAGAUGGGAAACAGAGUGAGCAGAAAAGAGGGAGGCCCUGUGGUGCAUUGCCUGGGUGGUGUGUGAGAGGCCGUGUGUGUGGCAAGAGAGGGCCACCCAGCCUCUCCCCAGACUACCCUCUAGUUACCGCCCAGCACCUCCCAUCUUCCAUUCAUCAACUGCCCGUCUCUUCCGGGAACCUUGCCCACAUCCACACCUGCCUCAUCCCCUCUGCCUCUGCUGAAGGUGGCUACUCUUGCCUUACCAGCUCUCCUUCCUUUUCUUUCUUCGGUUCUCUCUUGGCUUUCUCUCCAACUGCCAGCCGAUCGGGUCAGGCAAGUCCGUCCCGUCCUGAGAGCCCCAGGCCCCCCUUCGACCUCUAACCAGAUCCCUCCUACUCCUCGGAGACCUCCCUUAUCAAGCCUGCCUGGACAGCUGUUCUGUGACUUGACAGUGGCUCCCCCGACCCCAAAGCGUCCUAUUCAUCAUCUGUGACUUAGUCUGUUGUAGUGGUGAGCUGAUACAUCCAAAUGUGAUGUUGGUGAAAACUUGUGCCCCUCUGUGGUAUUGCUCCUGCGACAUUCUAUAAAUAUCUAUAAAUAUACCUAUAUAUACAUAUAUAUACAUAUAUAUGGCUGACACAGCCUCGCCUGUAGUGUCAGAAUCAACCACCAUGCUGUCCUUG